Molecule: ribosomal RNA, 518 nt
Filed under: uncultured fungus
Lineage: Eukaryota; Fungi
Description: eukaryotic LSU rRNA
Rfam family: 5.8S ribosomal RNA (bases 133-280)
Source: RNAcentral
GUGAACCUGCGGAAGGAUCAUUACCAAUUUUANCGAACCUGACCCUUGUUUGGUCAUGGUCUCNCNAAAAAACUGUAUUUAAAACCCCACUCUUAAAAAUGAACCUUUUUUUAUAUAUAAAUAAAAUAAGAUCACUUUCAACAACGGAUCUCUUGGCUCUCNCAUCNAUGAAGAACGUANCGAAGUGCGAUAAGUAAUGUGAAUUGCANAAUUCCGUGAAUCAUCNAAUCUUUGAACGCAAAUUGCACUCUCUUUGGGGAGUAUGCCUGUUUGAGGGUCANUAAUAAUAAAAUCGGGGUGUUGCUCUUUUGUGACACAACGGAGUUUGGGCUACCUUUGACUUUCGGGUUUAAGAGGCUUAAAUUGAACUUUUUUGCGCACUUUUAGACGUACAUAAAUUUAUUUUAUCGUCUAUUCUGGUGCCAAUUAUCUAUUAGGUGCGAUCAUGUUUAUAUGAUCUCGUGCCCAUAAUUCUCAUCUUUUGACCUCAAAUCAGGUAAGGACACCCGCUGAACUUA